This 254-nucleotide ribosomal RNA is filed under the name uncultured bacterium. Its description in RNAcentral is "partial 16S ribosomal RNA". It matches the Rfam family "Bacterial small subunit ribosomal RNA", at positions 524 to 776 of the family's 1533-position model. The record is from RNAcentral.
UACGAAGGGGGCUAGCGUUGCUCGGAAUCACUGGGCGUAAAGCGCACGUAGGCGGAUCGUUAAGUCAGGGGUGAAAUCCUGGAGCUCAACUCCAGAACUGCCUUUGAUACUGGCGACCUUGAGUUCGGGAGAGGUGAGUGGAACUGCGAGUGUAGAGGUGAAAUUCGUAGAUAUUCGCAAGAACACCAGUGGCGAAGGCGGCUCACUGGCCCGGAACUGACUGCUGAGAUGCGAAAGCGUGGGGAGCAAACAGG